Molecule: long non-coding RNA, 1797 nt
Organism: Frieseomelitta varia
Lineage: Eukaryota; Metazoa; Arthropoda; Insecta; Hymenoptera; Apidae
Exons: 3
Source: RefSeq, a predicted model, not a curated record
GUAGUGUGAAAAUGAUGGAUGGAAGAAGAAUGGUACCGGUUGAAAAGCACGGUGGUAAAGAUUCGAUUCGCGCGGGACGGAGAGUGUCGAUCAGACAAUGACCUCGGCAACAUGUUUCUAAAGGAGUCGACCAGCAGGAGACAAUGGAUAUAUAAUAUCACCUAUAAUUAGCCUCGUUAAAGCUGUCUCUAAUAAUAAGCAAAGCUAGCCAGAUGGCAAAAUCGCGAACGAUAAUCUGCCGGUGUGCUUAACGGUUAUUAAUAAAAUGCGCGAUUUAUCUCGCAGCCACAAACACGUUUAAUGCUUAUCAAUACACCAUAUGUACAACUCGGCAACACAUUACUGCACACAAUCCGCGGAGAAACUGCUUGUGCCAGAUAAUGCCUUUUAUGACGAUGCUCGUUGUGUCUGGAGGCUGCGCGGCAAACGGAAUUCCCUUAUCAAGACAUGUUAUCCCUUUGCGUACGGCACAUGGAAUUAACCUCGGUGUCUCGUUCAGAGGAUACGCAAAUUUGCUUUCAAAAAUUUAUUUCACUGUUUAUCAAUCACAGAUUUGCUAAUCUAAAACUAACUGAGACAUCAAUACGUUUAUCCAAGAAAUAUCAAACUUUCAUCAGGGGCCGACGAAUUCUUAAAGGAGAAAGAAGGUGAAAUCAUCAUGCUCGAGCACUGAAAAAGAGAAUGCCUAUUUAACGCUGGUCGAUUGAUACAAUAAUAACGAGACACGAUGCUCUGCAAACUAUGCCGCAUAAAAUCAGGCAUCUAUUAAUAUCAGCGUGCGACACUUUGGUACGCGAAGAAGAGUAUUGUUCUCGUAAUAAGAAGCUCGAAGGCGGAUUUACAUAAAAUUCUACAAUGAAUCUGACGAUCGAACACACGCGAGAGAGCCGGAGGACUCGCGGUUGCCGCGGCAGAUAAAUAUUAUUGCAACUCUCGAGCGCUCGAACCACUUGAUAGUAUAAAUAUAUCUCAUCGAAGACGAGGGCAAACACGCGAAUGCGUGAACGUUGCAUUGUUGAAUACGUUGAACAAACAAGAUCCGACCCUUUUUGGCCGUGAUAAGUGACAAAUCUGCAUAAUUUCAUUAACCCACGAUAGGUGGUGCUCGUUCAUUUGGUAUGUAAUUCAACGUGAGCCUUGCCAAACGGAAUCUCGCUUUCGAUUCUAGCGUAUGAUCGCCGCCCGAGUGUAACAAUUAUUUCACGGGACAAUUGCCGACGCUAUUCCGAGUACUUAAUUAGACUACGCGGCCUGUUGUUGCUCGAUGACACAUCUCUAUUGGGUUUCUCUGCACGGAUUCUCGUGUAUUUCUGUUUGUCAAAUGACUAAUAUGCGAACGCCAGUAACAAUGAAACGCGUAUGAUGGAGCAAUGAAUGGUCGCGUGAUUUUUUUCCUCUCGGAUAUUAAGCGUUAAGUUAAGAGAAAGAAAAAAACAUUUCGAUAUUAUAGAUUUCAUUUGAAAAAUGAGAGGAGUUGAAUGCGUAUAAUUUCAUUUUCGAUUUUGGAAAUCCAGUGAGUUACAGGUACAGGCACACUUAAGAGAUUCGUAUCUUUAAGAUUGAUAUUUUUCAUAGAUUAAUAUUCUUACCUAAUCUCUAGUUUUAAAUAACUGAAAUAAUCUCAAUGACGUCUAUACUUUUAUGGAUAAUUUAAAUUUCGUUCGCGUGUAAUACAAUGAAUAUAUUUUUAUUAACCAGACUUUACAAAGACAAAAAUUGAAUUGUCAUACUAUUUCAGUUUGUUACUGCAUCAAGUGCCGCUGUUGUUAAUUUUUCAAACAAAUGAAGCAUGAGAUU